This 624-nucleotide ribosomal RNA is filed under the name uncultured bacterium. RNAcentral describes it as "bacterial SSU rRNA". The stretch from base 1 to 521 matches the Rfam family "Bacterial small subunit ribosomal RNA", at positions 338 to 873 of the family's 1533-position model. The record is from RNAcentral.
CCUACGGGAGGCAGCAGUGGGGAAUAUUGGACAAUGGGCGCAAGCCUGAUCCAGCAAUGCCGCGUGAGUGAUGAAGGCCUUAGGGUCGUAAAGCUCUUUUACCAGGGAUGAUAAUGACAGUACCUGGAGAAUAAGCUCCGGCUAACUCCGUGCCAGCAGCCGCGGUAAUACGGAGGGAGCUAGCGUUGUUCGGAAUUACUGGGCGUAAAGCGUACGUAGGCGGUUAUUCAAGUCAGAGGUGAAAGCCCGGGGCUCAACCCCGGAACGGCCUUUGAAACUAGGUAGCUAGAAUCUUGGAGAGGUCAGUGGAAUUCCGAGUGUAGAGGUGAAAUUCGUAGAUAUUCGGAAGAACACCAGUGGCGAAGGCGACUGACUGGACAAGUAUUGACGCUGAGGUACGAAAGCGUGGGGAGCAAACAGGAUUAGAUACCCUGGUAGUCCACGCCGUAAACGAUGAUAACUAGCUGUCCGGGCACUUGGUGCCUGGGUGGCGCGNGACUACGACAUUAAGUUAUUCCGUCCGUCGGGUAGGUACGGUCGGCGAGAAGUUAAAACGUUAACGAAAGGAAAGUUAGUACGGUCGUGUAGUUACGUUGUCCGAACGGACGACGACGAGGGAGGAGG